UGGCUCAUCUGGGAUAGUGUAUUCGAUCACAAAGUUGGCUAACAUCUAUGCCUUGAUGGAAGGUCGGAGCUAGUAUUGUAUGUCAAAUUCUAAGAGCUCAAUCACCCACUUUGCAAUUUGUCCAAAUGUGUCUAGCCGAUGAGGGAUGCUCUUUAUCGAUUGAUCGAUCAAGAAGAUGAUAGUGUGAGCUAGAAAGUAGGGUCGAAGCUUCCUAGCUGUGAUGAGGAGUGCAUAGGCCAACUUUUCCAACCUUAAAUACCUAGCCUCCGCAUCCCUCAAUAUUCGGCU
RNAcentral lists this long non-coding RNA (288 nucleotides) under Elaeis guineensis (African oil palm). RNAcentral's name for it is "long non-coding RNA (EGUI_LNC046960)". Lineage: Eukaryota; Viridiplantae; Streptophyta; Magnoliopsida; Arecales; Arecaceae. The record is from RNAcentral.